GGAUUCGGGAGAGACUGUAAAGCAGCGCCGAAGGUGAAGUUGUAGUAAACUCUCAGGCAAAAGGACCGGAU
RNAcentral lists this non-coding RNA (71 nucleotides) under human gut metagenome. Its description in RNAcentral is "Glycine riboswitch". It matches the Rfam family "Glycine riboswitch aptamer", at positions 8 to 87 of the family's 94-position model. From Rfam's summary of the family: This family represents the bacterial glycine riboswitch. Glycine riboswitches usually consist of two metabolite-binding aptamers domains with similar structures in tandem. The record is from RNAcentral.